RNAcentral lists this ribosomal RNA (894 nucleotides) under uncultured Actinomycetes bacterium. RNAcentral's name for it is "bacterial SSU rRNA". It matches the Rfam family "Bacterial small subunit ribosomal RNA", at positions 54 to 963 of the family's 1533-position model. The record is from RNAcentral. Lineage: Bacteria; Bacillati; Actinomycetota; Actinomycetes.
CAUGCAAGUCGAGCGAUGAGAUCACUUCGGUGAAGGAUUAGCGGCGAACGGGUGAGGAACACGUGAAGAAUCUGCCUUCAACUCUGGGAUAACUCCGGGAAACCGGGGCUAAUACCGGAUAUGAGCCUUGAUCGCAUGAUCGGGGCUGGAAAGUUUUUCGGUUGAAGAUGACUUCGCGGCCUAUCAGCUUGUUGGUGAGGUAAUGGCUCACCAAGGCGACGACGGGUAGCCGGCCUGAGAGGGCGACCGGCCACACUGGGACUGAGACACGGCCCAGACUCCUACGGGAGGCAGCAGUGGGGAAUAUUGGGCAAUGGACGAAAGUCUGACCCAGCGACGCCGCGUGCGGGAUGAAGGCCUUCGGGUUGUAAACCGCUUUCAGCAGGGAAUAAGCGCAAGUGAAGGUACCUGCAGAAGAAGCACCGGCUAACUAUGUGCCAGCAGCCGCGGUAAUACAUAGGGUGCAAGCGUUGUCCGGAAUUAUUGGGCGUAAAGAGCUCGUAGGUGGUUUGUUACGUCGGUUGUGAAAUUCAGGGGCUCAACCCCUGACUUGCAGCCGAUACGGGCAAGCUAGAGUUUGGUAGGGGAGACUGGAAUUCCUGGUGUAGCGGUGGAAUGCGCAGAUAUCAGGAGGAACACCGAUGGCGAAGGCAGGUCUCUGGGCCAAUACUGACACUGAGGAGCGAAAGCGUGGGGAGCGAACAGGAUUAGAUACCCUGGUAGUCCACGCCGUAAACGGUGGGCGCUAGUUGUGCGAACCUUCCACGGUUUGUGCGACGCAGCUAACGCAUUAAGCGCCCCGCCUGGGGAGUACGAUCGCAAGAUUAAAACUCAAAGGAAUUGACGGGGCCCCGCACAAGCAGCGGAGCAUGCGGCUUAAUUCGACGCAACGCG